RNAcentral lists this transfer RNA (94 nucleotides) under Cellulomonas denverensis. Its description in RNAcentral is "tRNA-Leu". Lineage: Bacteria; Bacillati; Actinomycetota; Actinomycetes; Micrococcales; Cellulomonadaceae. The record is from RNAcentral.
GCGCGGUUCGACGAAGGUCUGCGCCGGGGUGGUGAGGUCGCCGAACAUGGCAGACAGCUCGGCCGCUUCCUGUUCCGCCGCCCGGACCGCGCCC